Molecule: long non-coding RNA, 104 nt
Organism: Frieseomelitta varia
Lineage: Eukaryota; Metazoa; Arthropoda; Insecta; Hymenoptera; Apidae
Exons: 3
Source: RefSeq, a predicted model, not a curated record
UAUUUGCAAACAAAGCGAAAUUUCAAAGUUUUCGGAAUUCCGAUUACAAAUUUUCGAAAAUUUGUCGGAAUAAAGUGUGUUUACACCAAAAAAAUGUAAAUAAA